AGCCCGGGCCCAAAUACAUAAACCUUAAAAUAAAAAUGCAAUAAAUUACAGACCUAGUUUUAAUACCCAAUUGUUGCCCGGUGCCCAAAUUAACUAAUCAAACCCAAUAAAACUUGGGCAAGUCCUAACCCAAUUACAUUUGGCCCAGUAAGGCCCAAGUGUACAAACCCUAGCCUACAACAGGUAUUCAGCAACAAUGGAGACAGAAACCACAGAUCGCGCCGCAGCAACCGUUCUUCCUCCAGCGGUUAUCGUCUCCGUCACAACACGUUCCCCUCGCACAACCCACGUUCUCCAACGCCCACACCUGCAACAAAUCAUGACCACGAACAAAGAUAACAACAGAAAAUACAAGGGAAAAGGGGAAAAAAGAGAGAAAGUAGUUUUUGGGAGUUUUUGAUUCCCUUAUUUCGGCUAUUAAAUCCAAAUGGAUUGUUUGUACAGGGGUUAACAAAAUUUUUGUAUGGAUAAAUUAAAAAGAAAAUAGAAGAGAGAACAAAGCAUAUUUUUUAAAAGGUGACAGAUUGUGUUUUUUUUUCCUGCUUGUUUUUUUACUGUUUCUAUUUCUUUUUUGUUUUUCUCUUUUAUUGCUUAAAACAAGAAACGAAGAGAGGGAGUAGAAGGGGACUUACCGUCACGAGCGGCGUCGGAGAACCUCUUCGUUCCGUCGUCGGAAUGAAAGGGAUGCGGAGAGGCAGUGAGGGAGGAGAGCUGCGGCGCAUUUGUGGGGUGGCUGAAGAAGUGAUUUUUAGGGUUUUAAAAUUUAUUUUUAUAGGGUAUUCUUGAAAAUGGGGCAUUUUUGCAAUUGGUCCCCCUGAUUUUGCAGUGUUUUUAAAUUGUUUUUUUUAUUUCUUUAAAAUUGUGCAAAAUAUUUUAUUACUGUUUCAAUUGGGUCCAUGUUGCCGCACAGUGUUUGGGCAAUUUGGAUAAAUUACCCUUUCAAUCCUCCUCCUGUUGUGUGCAUUUUAAUUCAGUCCCUUUUUGUGUUUUCCAUUUUUAAAUUUGGCUUUAAACUUUCGUUUGUUUCCAAUUUAAUCAUUAAUUUGUUGUUUUAGUUUUUUUCUUUAUAUUAUUAAUUUUAUUAUAUUAGUUAUUAUUAUAUUAUAUUCAUUAUACUUACAUUAUAUGCGUGUAUGUAUGAUAAUACUUAUAUAUUUAUAUUUUAAACAUUUUUAAAAUUCAUAUAAAUUUUAUAUAUACUUUAUUAUUAUUUUAUAUAUAUAAAUAUAUAUAUACAUAUAUGCGUAUAUACAAUUUUAUAAUAUCUAUAUGCUUUCCAUAUUUUAUAAUCUAUAUAGGUUAAUACAUGUUUUUUUAUAAUAUAUUCAUAUAUUAUUUAAAACUUUUAUAAAUAUUUUUUAUAUAUUUUUAUAUAUACAUACGUACCCAUAUUUUUCAUAAUUAUUAAUAUAUUAUGCUUACAUUUUUAUUGAUGUAAACUUUAAAUAUUUUAUGAUUAUGUUCUUUUUAUAUAUAUAUAUUUUGUAUAUAUAUAUGCGUUAACACUGUGCAAUACAUAUGUAUGUAUAAUUUAGGUUAAGGUAAUAAUUUCAUAUUAUGCACGAGCAUUUUAUCAUACUUUUAAAGAAAAUAUAUUUUGGUUUCGUUAGCAUUAAAAUUUUUUUUUUCUUAAAAAAUUAAAUAUUUGGCAAUCAUGAUUCUCGAGAAAGAUCAUGUCCUAACUUACUAGAUCGUGAUCAUUUUUUUCGAUGAAUUUAGCAAGCUAAGUAUUUAUUUCACAAUAAAUUUGCAAUUUUCAAAUAAAAGCUUAUUCUCGGGAAUUUAAAAUGCCGGGUCCUAACUUACUGGUCGUGACAUUUCGUCAUCUCGAAAUAAGAUUUUCUAAAACAAAAAGCAAUAUUCGGUAUUUUGAAGAUUUAAAAUAUUGUGCCCUAACUUACUGGGUGUUGUGUUUUAUUUCUUUGAAAUGAGAAUGUUUUAUCAUUUUAAUACAUUCACGGGUUAAAUUUUUUUUACUCUUUUCAAAUUUUCGACAUCAAAGACAUAAAAUAAUCAAAUUUCGUACCAAUUUUUGGGCGUUACGAGGGUGCUAACCCUUCCUCGUGCGUAACUGACUCCCGAACCUGUUUUCUCAAAUUUCGCAGACCAAAAUCAUUUUUAAGGUGAGCCGAUCACACCUCAAUCAAGGAUCGGUGGCGACUCCAAUUUUUGUUUUUAAAGUCGACAACUAAUUUUUGUUUUUCAAAAAAAUGGUUUCGACAGCUUGGCGACUCCACUGGGGAAGUUAGAGAGUCGAGCCAUAAAUUGAUUAGUUCUUGUCUUUUUGUCGGAAAGGUUUUAAAUUUGUUUUAAAUCACGAUUUCCUCCUCUGCAUUCAUUGGUUUUUAUCAUGAUAUGUUUGUUUAAUUGGUCUAGGUUUGUUAGGGUGUUUGCAUUUUACAUUGCAUGGAUGAUUUUACCCCUUUAAGUGGGAGUGAGAAACUAGUCCUUCGUGAGGUUUUCACCUCCGUGCAGGAUAGUGGAUCGCUUUCAGAAUACAUCUGUACCUAUGUCUUCGUGAGAUUUUCAUCUCCGUGCAGCCAUAGGGAAAUGUAUUCCCCUGAACCGAACUUGGUCCAUAUGAGCCUAUAAUGGGUGAGGAUCGAGGAAUCUGCUGGUUCGGGUACCCUUGCUCUAGAAGCCAAAACCUCAUAUAGUGAUCCUUAGGAAUCCACCCUAGGUAGAAUUACUUUGAACCUUAGUAGAUACCUAAAUUAGGAGUUUUUACUAUUUCUUGGUUGUAUUGUAUUUAAUUGUUACUGACUUUUUGUGUUUUACUCUAAUUGCAUAGCAUUACAAUUACAUGGCAUUCUAUUAUAAAGAGGCGUUGGUUCAUAUUCGGUUGCUAGACAGAAAGCUUAUCAUGGGAAAUGUGUUUCUUGAUAAAGUGGAAGAUAAUACGGCUGCCUGAAUAUAUUCCGAGAAAUGCAAGAAAGGUGAUGGAGGAAUACAUGACUUUACUUCGUGCCUCAAGGUCAAGUUGAUUAUUCAAGAGUUUCUGACAUUCCAACUCCCUUAAAGAUGUUGAGGAGUAUUACGGGGAUGGGCAGACGUUGGAUCAUAACCAGGAUCAAGCAAAAAAGAGGUAGAAGAGAUACCCCUUUUGAAGAAUUUACAAGAUUUAUCUGAGCACCGAGAUGAAGAAGGAGAAGAUGUCUUCGCCUGGAGUAUGAGGGCAAAGUCGUAUAUGUAUAUCCGCUUUAUGUAAAGAAAUUUGUCUUCUAGUAAAGUUUUCUAAAUAGAAUUGAAUUAGAAUCAACGUCUCUUUUUGCAUUCAUCUCAUGCAUUUGCAUUACAUUGCAUCAUAUACACUAAAAUCCACCAAAAAAGCCUAAUUGAGUAAAAUUAUUUUAGUUAAUUUGGAAAACCAACAUCCUCACGGCAUCCAAGCAAAGACUAGAGAAAUGGACCAAAGUUUGGAGAAAUUAGAGCAAAUGCAAGCGCAGAUACAGGAGCAAUUGACCAAAUUUCAGCAAGAUAUGAGAGAUCAGUUGUUAGAAUUCCAAAGAAAUAUAAUGUGCCAGUUAACCCAGUUAUUGGCUAAAGGGUUAGAAAGAGGAAAGACCCCAGUGGCCCACUUUGGGGAUAGUAAUGAGGACUCUACAUAUCCUUCAGGCUUCACCCCAACAAAUACCCAAGCACAACCAAAUGCAUAUCCACAAAGGGUAAUUGUUAACAUCCGACCCCAAUAUCAGACCAGCAACUCGACACCUGUGAAUUUCCAGAUUGGCUCAGGUUCCAACUCGAUAGGCGAUUCAACUAAUCCUAUUGUCAUUGAUGAUCAAGCAGAAGUAGAACAGACGAGGGUGGAGUUCCUAAAGCAUUUCGAAGAUAGUUACAAACGGAAGGGGCGAGAGUGGAACUCUCAAAUCAAUACUUUAGAGGCCCCAAGGAAUAAGGGGGAUAAUGUAGGCAGAUAUAAAAAAGUCACUCAAAACCUGUCACUGUGGGCUGGCCAAAGACAGAAAUCACCAGCUGUCAGAGCCCUUUAAAGCAAGAAUCUUACAUGAAAUCAAAUGCAGAAGGGCCUCAGUUUACACCUAUACCGAUGUCAUAUAGCGAGCUAUAUUAAAACCUAUUUAAUGCACAUGUCGUGUCCCCCUUCUAUUUGAAACCAAUGUUGCCCCCAUUUCCUAAAUGGUAUAAUACAAAUGCUCAGUGUGAAUACCAUGCAGGAAUUACGGGGCAUUCGAUAGAAAAUUGCACCGCUUUCAAGAAAUUGGUUUAAAGGCUCAUCAACAUAGGCGUUGUUAAAUUUGAUGAUUCAUCCAGUGCAGAAAAUCCGCUACCCAAUCAUGACUGAUAAUGGGGUGAAUGUGAUGUAUGAGGAAGUGUUGUGAGGUGUUCACAUCAAUGCCAUAUAUAAAGACACAAUUGAAAAGGGUUCUUUUUAGAUAUCUAUCCUUAUGAACUUAGGAGUGUCCUAAAUAAUCGGAUUGUAGAAGAAAUCUCUAUAGUAUUUAGAGCUUGCUUAGAGUAAUGUUCAAUACACACUUGUUGCUUUUAGCCUAGAGGCACUAAGAAUUCCUUUGUGAAGUAGGCUCAUGUCUAAAUGUCAUUAUUUUAAUGAAAUGCAUCCUUGCGAUCAUUUUUGAACCAGUAUUCUUUCAGUCUGUCUGAAUAGUUAUUCUUUCAUUCUUUUGGAUUUUCUUCCACAUCAUUCAUUCAUUCAGAAUCAUAUUGUAUAGAUAAAUUUAUACAUUCUUUUGUAUAUUCUUUGGUAUUUAUUAUGGGCCCCCAGAUAUCAAUGACUUGAAUAACACUGCCACAGAUUUAGAAUCUCUUUUUGAGCAAGACAUGUGUUUAGAAGGAUCUCAUGACUUUGAAGAUGACAUAGAUCGUAGUCUACCUCCAGACUUGUUGAGGAUGGUAGAGUAAGAAGUGAACAAAUUUACCUCAUGAGGAUACAAUGGAUGAUGCGAGCUUACAACAAAAACAAAGUAAGACAUGGUAUUGAAAAAGAUCCUUCCUAUACAAAAGGAUUUUAGAGAAAAAUGAGUGCCAAAGUGGGAAUGUCCUUAUAUUGUAAAGAAGACCUUUUCUGGAGGAGCACUGAUCUUGAGUGAGAUGGAUAGUAAAAACUUGUCUAAUCCUAUAAACUCAGAAUCAGUCAAGAAAUACUUCACUUAAAGAAGGAGAGGACCAAGGUAAAAACCUACAAAUGGCACUUUGAGUCACAAAAAAAAGAACAAGAAAAAAAGAUAAUGUGAAAAAGAUGUGAAAAAAUGAAAAAAUGAAAAAUAAAAAAUGGAAAAAGUAAAAAUGGAGAGGCUAAGGUGAAAACUCGCAAAGGGCGCCUUAGACCAAAGGAGAUUUGAGUUGAAAACCCGAAAAGGGUGGCUCAAAUAUUGAUUAAAAAGGGGCAUGAGGUAAUAAGAGUAGCUCAAAUUCUGAUCAGAUUGGGGCAUGUGGCGAUCUUGCUAUGCCUGAAUUAGCAGGAAAGGGUACGCGACAUUUUAGAGCAUCGACAGAGUAUUGUAGAUCUCCUAAGCACAUUUCAAACUCAGAAUAGUCUUCAGGAAAUUUGUACAGAGAAGUUCAAGUUGCGUUAUCUAGGGCAUCUAGUUUUCAUACUAUUUUUAUCGAAUUGUUUGUUCUUGGAAUACUUCAUUCUUUUUCAAGAUACGUGUUCCCAAUCCAUUCUUCUUUUAUUUUAUUAUUAUCCUUGAUAUUUUAUUCAUUUCGAGCUAUGCUCUUAAAUCAAUUCUAUUUUAUUUAUCAUUUUGUUCUUUUUGCAAGUAUGUUGCAUUAGAAUAAUGAUUAAUCGACCAAUAAAACUUUCACAAUGGAAGUUUUGCAUAUUACUCUAGAAAUAACCUGAAACAGGACUAUUGUUUAGAACGCACCAAGUUUAAAGGUUGAAAUAUCUGGGAAGGAAAGGUCUAAAUUGAGACUAUCCCUUCAGAUUUUGUUGUCAUAACAUUGAUUGAACAAAAUGACAAGAUGUCGUGUCGGUGAUAAGGCUUCAAUGAAUAAGCAAACAAUGAUCACCAAGCAAUAGGAAGAGGUUCCUCGGAGAAGAAAGCAUUCAUUUGUGCAUGAGCAUUUGGUACGACACCUUGGAAAUGGUGUAAUGAACCAAAGAGUUUCACAUUCUAUAUCCUUGAAUUGCGAUAGGAGAGGAUUGAGAAAGGACCAGAUUUUUCUACCAUUGGGUUACAGCGGGAGAAAGAUGGUACCAAUGUUGCAUCCCAGUAGAUUGAACUUUGAAGUUUACAGUAGGGGCAGGUUGAUUAAGUGUUUCUUCGGAGAUGCUAGCUGAGCAAGAGGACGUUUUAGUGCGUCAGUAAUACAGUUUCAAUAAACUUUGAGUAAUGACAACCUAAGCUUUAAAGAGGGAUCAUUCUCGAAAAAUGACAUUCGGCACUCAUUCAAAUGUCAUUCAUACACGUCUAGUUAGGAGCAUUUGAUUCAUUUUGAUCAUGACAUCCUAAUCACUAGGCAUAAUUAGGUUCAUAACUUGAAUUUUACAGGUCAUGUUCCCAAGAGAAAAAACUGAUAAAACUUCAGCCUUAUCUCCUUGAGCAGCAGUGGAGUAGGUUGAAAAUAGUAGAUUUUUAUUUCCUUAGUGUUGUAGUGGAGAAGAUUGAAGUCACAACGGCGGAUCUGGUUUCUCCAAUAGAGAAAAUUAAAAAGAUUGAAGCCACAACGGCAGAUCUUACUUCCCUGGUGAUGCAGUGGAGCAAAUUGAAGUCACAACGGCGGAUCUGGUUUCCCCGAUAGCGCAAUUAAAAAGAUUGAAGCCACAACGGUAGAUCUUACGUCCCUGGCGGUGCAGUGGAGCAGAUUGAAGUCACAACAGUAGAUCUGGUUUCCCUGACAGCGCAAUUAAAAAGAUUGAAGCCACAACGGUGGAUCUUACUUCCCUGGCGAUGCAGUGGAGCAGAUUGAAGUCACAACGGCAGAUCUGGUUUCCCCGACAGCGCAAUUAAAAGAUUAAAGCCACAACGGCGGAUCUUACUUCCCUGGCGAUGCAGUGGAGCAGAUUGAAGUCACAACAGCGGAUCUGGUUUCCCCGACAGCACAAUUAAAAAGAUUGAAGCCACAACGGCGGAUCUUACUUCCCUGGCGGUGCAGUGGAGCAGAUUGAAGUCACAACGGCGGAUCUGAUUUCCCCGACAGCUCAAUUAAAAAGAUUGAAGCCACAACGGUAGAUCUUACGUCCCUGGCGGUGCAGUGGAGCAGAUUGAAGUCACAGCAGUAGAUCUGGUUUCCCCGACAGCGCAAUUAAAAAUAUUGAAGCCACAACGGCGGAUCUUACCUCCUUAGCAGUGCAGUUGAACAGAUUGAAGCUACGACGGCGGAUCUUGUUUCCUCGACAUUGUAAUUGGAUAAAUUGAAUAAGAAUCCUAUCCCCCUGAAGAUGCAGUAGAGCGGAUUAACACCACGGAUCUUACCUUUUUGAAAUUGCAGUAAAGCAGAUAGUAUCAGACUCAUCUUUGAAGUUGCAGCAGAAUAAGUUAACGUUACGAGUCUUAUCUCCCUGAAGUUACGGUGGAGCAGACUAGAGAUUGCAAGUUUUGUUCUUUUGAGAAGCCACAAGGUACAAGUCCUAUCUCUUUGAUGUUGCAGUUGAGUGGAUUGAAGCACCGAUUCCUAUACCUCUGCAGACGCAGUAGAUUGGAAUGAGGCUACUUGAAGAGCCCUAAGAUCCAGUAUGCCCGGGCAAAAUUGGCCAUCUUAAAGUCUUUGCUCUGUUCCCGUUACAUGACAACGAGCAAAGAAGGGCAGCUGUAAUAGGCCAUUUUAGCCCGGGCCCAAAUACAUAAACCUUAAAAUAAAAAUGCAAUAAAUUACAGACCUAGUUUUAAUACCUAAUUGUUGGCCGGUGCCCAAAUUAACUAAUCAAACCCAAUAAAACUAGGGCCAGUCCUAACCCAAUUACAUUUGGCCCAGUAAGGCCCAAGUGUGCAAACCCUAGCCUAUAACAGGUCUUCAGCAACAAUGGAGGCAGAAAUCGCAGAUCGCGCCGCAGCAACCGUUCUUCCUCUAGCGGUUAUGGUCUCCGUCACAACACGUUCCCCUCGCACAACCCACGUUCUCCAACGCCCACACCUGCAACAAAUCAUGACCACGAACAAAGAUAACAGUAGAAAAUACAAGGGAAAAGGGGAAAAAAAGAGAAAGUAGUUUUUGGGAGUUUUUGAUUCCCUUAUUUCGGCUAUUAAAGCCAAAUGGAUUGUUUGUACAGGGGUUAGCAAAAUUUUUGUAUGGAUAAAUUAAAAAGAAAAUAGAAGAGAGAACAAAGCAUUUUUUUUAAAAGGUGACAGAUUGUGUUUUUUUUCCUGCUUGUUUUUUUACUGUUUCUAUUUCUUUUUUGUUUUUCUCUUUUAUUGCUUAAAACAAGAAACGAAGAGAGGGAGUGGAAGGGGACUUACCGUCGCGAGCGGCGUCGGAGAACCUCUUCGUUCUGUCGUCGAAAUGAAAGGGAUGCGGAGAGGCAGUGAGGGAGGAGAGCUGCGGCGCAUUUGUGGGGU
RNAcentral lists this long non-coding RNA (8477 nucleotides) under Gossypium barbadense (sea-island cotton). RNAcentral describes it as "long non-coding RNA (GBAR_LNC016562)". Lineage: Eukaryota; Viridiplantae; Streptophyta; Magnoliopsida; Malvales; Malvaceae. The record is from RNAcentral.